ACGGACUUAAUUGAAUUGAGCUUUGGUAUGGAAACCCUCUAUCCCCCCCCAAAAAAAGCCUUAAUUUGACUCCCCAAAUAUUUAU
RNAcentral lists this transfer RNA (85 nucleotides) under Pedicularis duclouxii. Its description in RNAcentral is "tRNA-Leu". The record is from RNAcentral. Lineage: Eukaryota; Viridiplantae; Streptophyta; Magnoliopsida; Lamiales; Orobanchaceae.